Molecule: ribosomal RNA, 3242 nt
Filed under: marine metagenome
Description: bacterial LSU rRNA
Rfam family: Bacterial large subunit ribosomal RNA
Source: RNAcentral
GUCAGGUAGUAAGGGCGCAGGGCGGAUGCCUUGGCUCUGGGAAGCGAAGAAGGACGUGGCCAGCUGCGAUAAGCCUCGGGGAAGAGCAAACAUCUUUUGAUCCGGGGAUUUCCGAAUGGGGUAACCCGCAUGGCUGUUGAGGCCAUGCACUGUUGAGUGAAUACAUAGCUCAUCAGGGCGAACUUGGGGAACUGAAACAUCUCAGUACCCAAAGGAAUAGAAAUCAACCGAGAUUCUGCUAGUAGCGGCGAGCGAACGCGGAAGAGCCCAAACCACCGGGUACGCCCGGUUGGGGUUGUAGGGCCGCCAACAAAGGAUAAUUGGAGGAUUAGCUGAAGUGUCUGGGAAGGCACGGCAUAGAGGGUUAGACCCCCGUAAGCGAAAGUCUGAAGAUGUCCGAGGCGGUACCUGAGUAGGACGGGACACGAGAAAUCCUGUUUGAAUCUGGGGGGACCACCCUCCAAGGCUAAAUAUUACCCAGAGACCGAUAGUGUACCAGUACCGUGAGGGAAAGGUGAAAAGAACCUCGAACAGAGGAGUGAAAUAGUUCCUGAAACCCUGCGUCUACAAGCAGUGGAAGCAAUGCUGAUCUUCGGAUCACGUGCGACCGCGUGCCUUUUGCAUAAUGAGCCAACGAGUUGUCUGUCGGUGGCAGGUUAAGUUUAUAACGAAGCCACAGCGAAAGCGAGUUCGAAAUGAGCGUUCAGUCCCCGGCAACAGACCCGAAACCGAGUGAUCUACCCCUGUCCAGGUUGAAGCCUGGGUAAGACCAGGUGGAAGACCGAACCGUUGAGCCUUAAAACGUUCUCGGAUGAGGUGGGGGUAGGAGUGAAAGGCUAAUCAAACUCGGAGAUAGCUGGUUCUCCCCGAAAUAUAUUGAGGUAUAGCCUCGUGAUAGACCGCCGGAGGUAGAGCACUGGAUGGACUAGGGCCCUCACCAGGGUACCAAACCCAACCAAACUGCGAAUACCGGCGAGUUGUUUCACGGGAGUCAGACAGCGGGAGCUAACUUUCGUUGUCGAAAGGGAAACAACCCAGACCAUCAGCUAAGGCCCCCAAGUCAUGACUAAGUGGGAAAGGAAGUGGGAGCGCCCAGACAACCAGGAGGUUGGCUUAGAAGCAGCCACCCUUUAAAGAAAGCGUAACAGCUCACUGGUCGAGCGAGCCUGCACCGAAAAUUUAACGGGGCUCAAGUCAUGCGCCGAAGCUAUGGGAUUUAUAUUUAUAUAAAUCGGUAGGGGAGCGUUCCCUGUGCAGUGAAGCUGAAUCGAGAGGGUCAGUGGAGCGCAGGGAAGUGAGGAUGUUGGCAUAAGUAACGAAAAUGUGGGCGAGAAACCCACACGCCGAAAGCCCAAGGUUUCCCGGGCCAUGUUAUUCAGCCCGGGGUUAGUCGGCACCUAAGACGAGGCCGAAAGGCGUAGUCGACGGAAAACCGGUUCAUAUUCCGGUACUUGCAUGUGCGCGUGAUGGAGGGACGCAGGAGGAUAGGCCGGCCUGGUGAUGGAUAUCCAGGUUCAAGGCCGUAGGCGGAAGUCUCAGGUAAAUCCGGGACUUUAUCUAACGCCGAGAGUCGAUGACGAGAGGCUUUGCUUCGCAAAGCGGUCGAUUCCACACUGCCAAGAAAAGCUUCUAAGCAUAGCAGAUGCAAACCGUACCCCAAACCGACACAGGUGGGCGGGUAGAGAAUACCAAGGCGCUUGAGGGAAAUCAUGUUAAGGAACUCUGCAAAAUAACUCCGUAACUUCGGAAGAAGGAGUGCCUGCAGCGGUGAAGGGACUUGCUCCUGGAGCUUAAGCGGGCCGCAGUGACCAGGCCCAGCCGACUGUUUAGCAAAAACACAGCACUCUGCUAAAUCGCAAGAUGAUGUAUAGGGUGUGACGCCUGCCCGGUGCCGGAAGGUUAAUGGGAGGGGUUACCCCGCUUCUAAAUGGUUUUUUGAUUAAAAACGCAUAUGCAUUAUGUUUAUAUCAUACAUAGUGAUAAUGACCAGUUCUACAUUGGUUAUAGUUCUGAUUUAAGAGCAAGGAUAACUGCUCAUAAUGAAGGACAAACCAAGUCAACAAGAGGACGAAUAUGGAAAUUGGUUUACUAUGAAGCAUAUCUGGAUGAGAAAAGUGCUCGUCACAGAGAGAGGAUGUUAAAACAUGAUGGUCGCACUCGUCGAUAUUUGAUGGAGCGAGUUAAAGAAAGCGUAAAGAAUCAUUUAGUAGCGGGGGAAGCUCCGAACUGAAGCCCCGGUAAACGGCGGCCGUAACUAUAACGGUCCUAAGGUAGCGAAAUUCCUUGUCGGGUAAGUUCCGACCUGCACGAAUGGCGUAACGAUCUGGGCGCUGUCUCAAUGUGAUUCUCAGUGAAAUUGAAAUGGCGGUGAAGAUACCGUCAACCCGCGGCAAGACGGAAAGACCCCGUGCACCUUUACUGCAGCUUGGCAGUGAACUUGGGAGAGAUUUGUGUAGGAUAGGUGGGAGGCUGCGAAGGGGGGGCGCUAGUCCCUCUGGAGCCACCCUUGAAAUACCACCCUGAUUUUUUCUGUGUUCUAACUUAGUCCCGUUAUCCGGGACAAGGACCCUGUCUGGUGGGCAGUUUGACUGGGGCGGUCGCCUCCCAAAGAGUAACGGAGGCGCGCAAUGGUUCCCUCAGCCGGUUUGGAAAUCCGGCGCAGAGUGCAAAGGCACAAGGGAGCUUGACUGCAAGAGCGACAGCUCGAGCAGGUACGAAAGUAGGUCUUAGUGAUCCGGUGGCCCCGUGUGGAAGGACCAUCGCUCAACGGAUAAAAGGUACGCCGGGGAUAACAGGCUAAUCGCGCCCAAGAGUUCAUAUCGACGGCGCGGUUUGGCACCUCGAUGUCGGCUCAUCGCAUCCUGGGGCUGAAGCAGGUCCCAAGGGUAUGGCUGUUCGCCAUUUAAAGCGGUACGCGAGCUGGGUUCAGAACGUCGUGAGACAGUUCGGUCCCUAUCUGCCGCGGGCGCAGGAGAUCUGAGGAGGUCUGCCCUUAGUACGAGAGGACCGGGGUGGACAGACCUCUGGUGAUCCGGUUGUUCCGCCAGGAGCAUUGCCGGGUAGCUACGUCUGGAACGGAUAACCGCUGAAAGCAUCUAAGCGGGAAGCCGGCUCCAAGAGCGAUCUCCCGGACCAUUAGGUCCCCAAAGGCCGCAGGAAGAUUACCUGUUUGAUAGGCCGGAAGUGGAAGCAUGGCAACAUGUGAAGCUGACUGGUACUAAUUGGCCGGGCGGCCUGACUUA